Lolium perenne is the source of this 1191-nucleotide long non-coding RNA. RefSeq lists it as uncharacterized. Lineage: Eukaryota; Viridiplantae; Streptophyta; Magnoliopsida; Poales; Poaceae. The record is from RefSeq and is a predicted model, not a curated record.
GAAAACUCGUUUUUGCAGACGCCUUCACCCACCGGUGUUGCUUCCUCCAAUCACCCACGCGCGUAUGGCAAUCACCCACGCGCGUAUGGCAAGUUGGCAACCUGCCGGUGUUUCUGUAUAAUCGUAUGGCAGUGAGUCCGUAUUUUCGUUGGGCCCACCCACGUGCGUUUGUCUCCCAUCUCCUUCCUCCUAUCUCCAGCACCGCAUUUGAGAAAUCGGAGAGGCAGCGAUGUCCCCGCCUCCCCGGCGGUAAGGUUCUGCGCCGCCACCGCUCGUCCGUGCGCAGCUGCCACCGCCUUCGUCCGUGCUCCUUGGCACCUGACUCCACCAUGCCGAAAUCGCUGCCGCGCGACUCCGUGCAGCUCUUCCUCGCCGUCGCCAACAUGGACGUGGCCUAACGCCUCAAGCUCAGGUUCGGCGGCUACCACGCGCUCGACGCGGAUACCCGAAGCACAGCGCGCUAGUCCUCUACCGGGAUGCCUCUGAGCUCGUGACCCGUGUGUAUGACUGGGUGAGAGCGACCUCAGCGCCGCCGAGACCCUCCUGAUUGCACCUGUCCUGGGCGAGGACGACGACACCCACGACCGCCACUACUCUUCCUGGGUUCAGAUCUUGCUAUUAGCCUUUCGAUGGUGCUGUUUUCCUUCAGAUCGAUUUGAUUCAGAGGCCUGCACCAAUUUCAUCGAGCUUGCAAGGUCAGCACCAAGAUUCUCAGGCCACAGGCCUGGCGGCAUCCUCGACAGAAACCGCGGCCCGCCAAGGCCCGCGCCUUCAACCAGCCCGAUGGCAUCGGCGCCGUCCCGCCAGAGACGCUCGCGCCUGCAAUCAGCCUGAUGGCAUACUCCAGGGAUCGCUUGGCCAAAGCGAAGGCCGCCGCGUCUUCCGCGGGCUCGUUUCCGGAUGAGGCGAGUUGUGUCAAGAGAAGUCUUGUCGUGUGGGAACGAAAAGAAAAGAAGAAUCUAACAGCCCUACAGCUCGAGGCCAUGGUCGAAACCAGCGGAUCUUGCCGAGCAUGGAGUGGGCGCGCCGGUAGCAGGGCCGGCCGCGGGGAUGGGAUACGCGGCGGAGGCGAAUCAAGGCUAAGCCAUCGGGCCGACGGCCUCGGCGUUUUUUUCUCGAAACGUUUUCUUUUUUACUUAGCGGUGGCAAGGAUUGUAAUUUUGAUAUAUUCCAGGGGCAAUUUCAGUGACG